Molecule: non-coding RNA, 217 nt
Filed under: Bacillus sp. (in: firmicutes)
Lineage: Bacteria; Bacillati; Bacillota; Bacilli; Caryophanales; Bacillaceae
Description: Bacillus sp. T-box sequence
Rfam family: T-box leader
About the family: Uncharged tRNA acts as the effector for transcription antitermination of genes in the T-box leader family. T-boxes are found upstream of many aminoacyl-tRNA synthetase genes and some amino acid biosynthetic genes usually in Gram-positive bacteria.
Source: RNAcentral
UUGAAGGCUGUGAAAGGAAUAAGUAGUUUUUCCAUCACUGGUUGAAGAGAGCUGCCGGCAGGUGCGAGGCAGUCCAAAUGGAAAAAUGAAUUACAACCCGGAGCUUUUGACCCCUGCUUAUUUGUGGGCGGCACGGUGUGAACCGUUAUCUCAAGAGUUGGAGAAUUUAUUUUCUCAAGCUGGGUGGUACCGCGCGAUUACGUUUUGCGUCCCUGCA